ACCAGCUAACAUUUGCUGCACGAUCUAUUCCACAGCUCCUCGAACAUUCCUGUACGAAGUACUUGGGCCCAGAGCCGGGCAGAGGAGGGUAGUUCUCUCCCAGCUAUGGUUGAGGAGCCCAGUCCUGAUACGGCAGCACCAUGUUCAGGACUGACACCCGCUGAUCCUCUGCCCCCAUGCCUCUCAAUUCUGGUUCCAAACCAGUUGCCCCAUGUCUAAACAGAGUUUUAAUAUUGCCCACCUGCUUGACUUUCUACCUGGCUUGGGUCUCAGGGUCUUUCCUGAACGAGUCUCUGAACUUGCCUUGGCCAAGUCCAGCCCCUUUUACAAGCUCAUCACCAGCUCCAGAGGAGGCCGCGCCAACUCCAGGCCACAAGGCUCCUGUGGUGUGGAAGAGAGAAUCCAACUCACUGAGUGCCUUCUUCCUUCCAGAGGACCAGCAAAUGACCCACAGGUCAUGAGGAAGAGAGAAUAUUCUCAGUCCAGGGCAGGCAAAGACGUGGUGGGAGCUGGUGAAGUCAGACAUUGUGCCUCGAGAAGACUCUCUCUAGGAGCUGUAGACGUGAGCCUAGAAUGCAUAGCUUGAUAAUCAAAGAUGGUGAGACAUUUCAGCAAAAGAGGCCAUGUGCUCAGGGGUCAAGAGUAUCGGACUGGAAUAAGCCUCAGAAGAGCCUGCCUCUGCCCCAUAUGGGCCACGUGACCACGGAGAACUCACUCUCCCUGGCGAGGCCUACUGAGGGCCUUGGUCCUUCUUCUCUGUGACAUGGAUAUGAACUCGUACUGAGCUCACAGAGCUGUUCAGGGAAUUAAAUGAGUCCAUGCCUCUGAAUGGCUGAGCACAAUGCCUGGCGCCGCAGAAGCCUUUGGUAGGUGUAGUUCAUGUGUUAUUUGCUUAUCAGACCAUUCACGAAAAACCAGGACUGCUGAGUACCAGCCACCUGCUCCAAUCAAGACCUUUCCCAGCUGGACCCAGGAAAGUAUCCAGUGAGUGGCAAAGCCAUUUCCGGCCUCCUAAGGGAACGAGGAGUCAACCAGAACCGAUUAACCCUGAGCUAACAUCUGCCACCAAUCCUCCUCUUUUUGCUGAGGAAGACUGGCCUUGAGCUAACGUCUGUGCCCAUCUUCCUCUACUUUAUAUGUGGGACACCUGCCACAGUAUGGCUUGCCAAGCGGUGUGUAUGGCCGCACCCAGGAUCCGAACCAGCAAACCCCGGGCUGCUGAAGCAGAACGUGUGAACUUAAUCACUGUGCCACUGGGCUGGCCCCAAUUUCACUUUUGAGGUCAAUCUUUUUAAAGAAUAAGCUGGAAAAGACCAAAAAUUAAGGCGAGGCUACAGCAGCUGUUGUGUAGCAACAGGACACAGUGUUUGCUUUCUCUAAACGAGAGCUCAGUCUUCUGAUGCCAGCUGACCCUGUGCUUGCUUCCUAAGUCUUGGAAGAACCUACAGCAGAAGAACUAAGGGGACAGACAGAAAGGAGGAACCAGCAAGGACACUAAGAGAGGAAGAAAAGCAAGAGUGGGGCAUUUGGGAAGCCAAGUGAAGAAGAUGCAUCCAGAAAAUGGGAAUAAUCAACUGCGCCAAAUCCUUUGGAGAAGAAUCAGUGAUGGGAACAUAGAAAUUUAAGCCUCUUCCCCCUAAAAAAAUUAAGACUAGGAAAAUAAAUGAUGCGCGAGAAAAGAAAUGCAAUUCUAGUAUGCUCUAGGGUUCAGCUCUAAAUAAUAUUUCCAAAGUCAUAGUAAUGUAACAGUGGACUAUUGAUCUAACCAAAAACUCUACGGAGCUCUCCUGGGAGGAUGGUGGCAAGGGAAGCACGAUGUGGCGGGAAGGAGCAGAGGGGUGUGUGUAACAGAGCAAUGUCGCCAUCCCCAGCAGAAAGUCACUGCGUAGUAGCUAGAGCUUAAAAUAAUAUCACCGGCCUUGGGGUGAGGAGAAUGGAAGGGUGACUUAGGGACAGCUUUCUUCCCGUAAUAAGCCUUAUGGAACUAUUUGCUUUCCAAAU
Molecule: long non-coding RNA, 2001 nt
Organism: Equus caballus (horse)
Lineage: Eukaryota; Metazoa; Chordata; Mammalia; Perissodactyla; Equidae
Source: Ensembl